UUUAGUCGUGUCCGACUCUUCGUGACCCCAUGGACCAGAGCACGCCAGGCAUUCCUGUCUUCCACUGCCUCCCGCAGCUUGGUCAAACUCAUGCUGGUAGCUUCGAGAAUACUGUCCAACCAUCUCGUCCUCUGUCGUUCCCUUCUCCUUGUGCCCUCCAUCUUUCCCAACAUCAGGGUCUUUUCCAGGGAGUCUUCUCUUCUCAUGAGGUGGCCAAAUUCUUGGAGCCUCAGCUUCAGGAUCUGGCCUUCCAGUGAGCACUCAGGGCUGAUUUCCUUCAGAAUGGAGAGGUUUGAUCUUCUUGCAGUCCAUGGGACUUUCAGGAGUCUCCUCCAGCACCAGAAUUCAAAAGCAUCAAUUCUUCGGCGAUCAGCCUUCUUGAUGGUCCAGCUCUCACUUCCAUACAUCACUACUAGGAAAACCAUAGCUUUAACUAUAGGGACCUUUCUCGGCAAGGUGAUGUCUCUGCCUUUUAAGAUGCUGUCUAGGUGCUGGGUAUCGCCCAGCCAAUCUGCGGCCAGGGUGGGUGUGGCCACGAGCCGUUUAAUUUUGGCGUGGCGCGCUCACUCUUCCUUGCCUUUUUGGAUCAGCACCGAACUUUGCCUGCGGUUUUCUUUCGGUCGUUUUUUUCCUGCUCUAGAAGCCUUUUGUUUUGAACAUCGUUGCCUUCCCCUGUAGAGCAUAGCAGCCCGGCUUCAGCGACUGCUUCCAGCAGGGCUGGCUGCCUGCAAUCAGCUGUGAAGCCGGCGACUUACAGCUGGGGAGCAGCGCGUUUUUCCCUUGGGCUGCUGAAGCAAUGUCCACCGCCCUUCUGCUCUGCCUUUGGCUUCCCUCUCGCUAAUUGCCAGGAGGCAUUGCUUCAGAGGUCUCCCUUCACCACAAGCCUCAGAUUGGGGAGGUAGCGAAGUUUGUGGACAACACUGAUGGGCUGUUAACCAGAAGGUUGGUGGUUCGAGCCCACCUAGGAUUCCCACAUUGCAGCCGGUUGGACUAGAUGACCCCUGAGAUGAUCAAACGUGCAGAUUGUGAAGGGCUCCACAAGAAUCUCUCCAAACUGGGUGAUGUUAAAAUGGCAAAUGUGUUUCAAUGUAACUUAAGUGUGAAGUGAGGAUGCACAUGGAGCAA
Molecule: long non-coding RNA, 1125 nt
Organism: Podarcis raffonei (Aeolian wall lizard)
Lineage: Eukaryota; Metazoa; Chordata; Lepidosauria; Squamata; Lacertidae
Exons: 3
Source: RefSeq, a predicted model, not a curated record